GCCAAAUACAAAACCUGAAAUCGAAUAUAGAAGUCUAAGUGCAAGAUAGAUUCUCUACAAUAUAAGAAGGGGCAGUGACUAACAUAGCAGUUUAAAGGAAUGAAGCUCUGUAUUUUCCUUAACAGCUAAUGUAGGAGAAAAAUACAGAAUCAUUUUUCAACUUGACAACCAUACUAAGUGUAAAACCUACAAAUAUUAUCUUUCUAGCUUGUAUACUUUAAAAUUUAAGUAUAACUCCACAACCUUCCCCUUGUCAUUUGUUUCUAU
Molecule: unclassified non-coding RNA, 267 nt
Filed under: Hevea brasiliensis (rubber tree)
Lineage: Eukaryota; Viridiplantae; Streptophyta; Magnoliopsida; Malpighiales; Euphorbiaceae
Source: RNAcentral